GAGUUUGAUCCUGGCUCAGAUUGAACGCUGGCGGCAGGCCUAACACAUGCAAGUCGAGCGGUAACAGAGAGUAGCUUGCUACUCUGCUGACGAGCGGCGGACGGGUGAGUAAUGCUUGGGAAUAUGCCUUUUGGUGGGGGACAACAGUUGGAAACGACUGCUAAUACCGCAUAAUGUCUACGGACCAAAGUGGGGGACCUUCGGGCCUCACGCCAUAAGAUUAGCCCAAGUGGGAUUAGCUAGUUGGUGAGGUAAUGGCUCACCAAGGCGACGAUCCCUAGCUGGUUUGAGAGGAUGAUCAGCCACACUGGGACUGAGACACGGCCCAGACUCCUACGGGAGGCAGCAGUGGGGAAUAUUGCACAAUGGGCGCAAGCCUGAUGCAGCCAUGCCGCGUGUGUGAAGAAGGCCUUCGGGUUGUAAAGCACUUUCAGUAAGGAGGAAAGGUUAAGUGUUAAUAGCACUUAGCUGUGACGUUACUUACAGAAGAAGCACCGGCUAACUCCGUGCCAGCAGCCGCGGUAAUAC
RNAcentral lists this ribosomal RNA (528 nucleotides) under uncultured sponge symbiont PAUC53. RNAcentral describes it as "bacterial SSU rRNA". It matches the Rfam family "Bacterial small subunit ribosomal RNA", at positions 9 to 526 of the family's 1533-position model. The record is from RNAcentral.